RNAcentral lists this ribosomal RNA (434 nucleotides) under uncultured bacterium. RNAcentral describes it as "bacterial SSU rRNA". It matches the Rfam family "Bacterial small subunit ribosomal RNA", at positions 343 to 794 of the family's 1533-position model. The record is from RNAcentral.
CGGAGGCAGCAGUGGGGAAUCUUGCACAAUGGGGGAAACCCUGAUGCAGCGACGCCGCGUGAGCGAUGAAGCCCUUCGGGGUGUAAAGCUCUUUCGGCAGGAACGAUAAUGACGGUACCUGCAGAAGAAGCUGCGGCUAACUACGUGCCAGCAGCCGCGGUAAUACGUAGGCAGCGAGCGUUGUUCGGAGUUACUGGGCGUAAAGAGUAUGUAGGCGGUUUUGCAAGUUCGGUGUGAAAUCUCCCGGCUCAACUGGGAGGGUGCGCCGAAAACUGCAAGGCUAGAGUGUGGGAGAGGAAAGCGGAAUUCCUGGUGUAGCGGUGAAAUGCGUAGAUAUCAGGAGGAACACCGGCGGUGUAGACGGCUUUCUGGACCAUUACUGACGCUGAGAUACGAAAGCGUGGGGAGCAAACAGGAUUAGAUACCCUGGUAGA